RNAcentral lists this ribosomal RNA (672 nucleotides) under Xeromphalina sp. MLB-2010. Its description in RNAcentral is "eukaryotic LSU rRNA". It matches the Rfam family "Eukaryotic large subunit ribosomal RNA", at positions 1 to 653 of the family's 3401-position model. The record is from RNAcentral. Lineage: Eukaryota; Fungi; Basidiomycota; Agaricomycetes; Agaricales; Mycenaceae.
UUGACCUCAAAUCAGGUAGGACUACCCGCYGAACUUAAGCAUAUCAAUAAGCGGAGGAAAAGAAACUAACAAGGAUUCCCCUAGUAACUGCGAGUGAAGCGGGAAAAGCUCAAAUUUAAAAUCUGGCGGUCUUUGGCYGUCCGAGUUGUAAUUUAGAGAAGUGUUAUCCGCGCUGGACCGUGUACAAGUCUCCUGGAACGGAGCGUCAUAGAGGGUGAGAAUCCCGUCUUUGACACGGACCACCAGUGCUUUGUGAUGCGCUCUCGAAGAGUCGAGUUGUUUGGGAAUGCAGCUCAAAAUGGGUGGUAAAUUCCAUCUAAAGCUAAAUAUUGGCGAGAGACCGAUAGCGAACAAGUACCGUGAGGGAAAGAUGAAAAGAACUUUGGAAAGAGAGUUAAACAGUACGUGAAAUUGUUGAAAGGGAAACGCUUGAAGUCAGUCGCGUUGUCCGGGGAUCAACCUUGCAUUCGUGCUUGGCGUACUUCCCGGUCGACGGGUCAGCAUCAAUUUUGACCGCUGGAUAAAGGUCAGGGGRAUGUGGCAUCCUCGGAUGUGUUAUAACCUCUGGCUGCAUACAGCGGUUGGGAUUGAGGAACUCAGCACGCCGCAAGGCCGGGUUUUUAACCACGUACGUGCUUAGGAUGCUGGCAUAAUGGCUUUAAUCGACCCGUC